Molecule: ribosomal RNA, 1393 nt
Filed under: synthetic construct
Also listed under: 2 other names
Description: bacterial SSU rRNA
Rfam family: Bacterial small subunit ribosomal RNA
Source: RNAcentral
AGAGUUUGAUCCUGGCUCAGGAUGAACGCUGGCGGCGUGCUUAACACAUGCAAGUCGAACGAAGCAUUUGCGACAGAUUUCUUCGGGAUGAAGUUGCUUAUGACUGAGUGGCGGACGGGUGAGUAACGCGUGGGUAACCUGCCUUGUACUGGGGGAUAGCAGCUGGAAACGGCUGGUAAUACCGCAUAAGCGCACAAUGUUGCAUGACAUGGUGUGAAAAACUCCGGUGGUAUAAGAUGGACCCGCGUCUGAUUAGCUAGUUGGUGAGAUAACAGCCCACCAAGGCGACGAUCAGUAGCCGACCUGAGAGGGUGACCGGCCACAUUGGGACUGAGACACGGCCCAGACUCCUACGGGAGGCAGCAGUGGGGAAUAUUGCACAAUGGAGGAAACUCUGAUGCAGCGACGCCGCGUGAGUGAAGAAGUAAUUCGUUAUGUAAAGCUCUAUCAGCAGGGAAGAUAGUGACGGUACCUGACUAAGAAGCUCCGGCUAAAUACGUGCCAGCAGCCGCGGUAAUACGUAUGGAGCAAGCGUUAUCCGGAUUUACUGGGUGUAAAGGGAGUGUAGGUGGCCAUGCAAGUCAGAAGUGAAAAUCCGGGGCUCAACCCCGGAACUGCUUUUGAAACUGUAAGGCUGGAGUGCAGGAGGGGUGAGUGGAAUUCCUAGUGUAGCGGUGAAAUGCGUAGAUAUUAGGAGGAACACCAGUGGCGAAGGCGGCUCACUGGACUGUAACUGACACUGAGGCACGAAAGCAUGGGUAGCAAACAGGAUUAGAUACCCUGGUAGUCCAUGCCCGUAAACGAUGAUUACUAGGUGUGGGGGGACUGACCCCUUCCGUGCCGCAGUUAACACAAUAAGUAAUCCACCUGGGGAGUACGGCCGCAAGGUUGAAACUCAAAGGAAUUGACGGGGGCCCGCACAAGCAGUGGAGUAUGUGGUUUAAUUCGAAGCAACGCGAAGAACCUUACCAGGUCUUGACAUCCUGAGAAUCCUUAAGAGAUUAGGGAGUGCCUUCGGGAACUCAGAGACAGGUGGUGCAUGGUUGUCGUCAGCUCGUGUCGUGAGAUGUUGGGUUAAGUCCCGCAACGAGCGCAACCCUUAUCUUUAGUAGCCAGCGGUCAGGCCGGGCACUCUAGAGAGACUGCCAGGGAUAACCUGGAGGAAGGCGGGGAUGACGUCAAAUCAUCAUGCCCCUUAUGACUUGGGCUACACACGUGCUACAAUGGCGUAAACAAAGGGAAGCGAGCCUGCGAGGGGGAGCAAAUCCCAAAAAUAACGUCUCAGUUCGGAUUGUAGUCUGCAACUCGACUACAUGAAGCUGGAAUCGCUAGUAAUCGCGAAUCAGAAUGUCGCGGUGAAUACGUUCCCGGGUCUUGCACACACCGCCCGUCA